ACGGGAGGCAGCAGUGGGGAAUAUUGCACAAUGGGCGAAAGCCUGAUGCAGCGACGCCGCGUGAGUGAUGAAGUAUUUCGGUAUGUAAAGCUCUGUCAGCAGGGAAGAUAAUGACGGUACCUGACUAAGAAGCACCGGCUAAAUACGUGCCAGCAGCCGCGGUAAUACGUAUGGUGCAAGCGUUAUCCGGAUUUACUGGGUGUAAAGGGAGCGCAGGCGGUACGGCAUGUCUGAUGUGAAAGCCCGGGGCUCAACCCCGGUACUGCAUUGGAAACUGUCGAACUAGAGUGUCGGAGGGGUAAGUGGAAUUCCUAGUGUAGCGGUGAAACGCGUAGAUAUUAGGAGGAACACCAGUGGCGAAGGCGACUUACUGGACGAUAACUGACGCUGAGGCUCGAAAGCGUGGGGAGCAAACAGGAUUAGAUACCCUGGUA
This 434-nucleotide ribosomal RNA is filed under the name uncultured Lachnospiraceae bacterium. Its description in RNAcentral is "partial 16S ribosomal RNA". It matches the Rfam family "Bacterial small subunit ribosomal RNA", at positions 341 to 792 of the family's 1533-position model. Lineage: Bacteria; Bacillati; Bacillota; Clostridia; Lachnospirales; Lachnospiraceae. The record is from RNAcentral.